CCUACGGGUGGCUGCAGUGGGGAAUAUUGGACAAUGGGCGAAAGCCUGAUCCAGCCAUGCCGCGUGUGUGAAGAAGGCCUUCGGGGUGUAAAGCACUUUCAGUGGGGAAGAAAGCCUUGGGGCUAAUACCCUCGAGGAAGGACAUCACCCACAGAAGAAGCACCGGCUAACUCCGUGCCAGCAGCCGCGGUAAUACGGAGGGUGCGAGCGUUAAUCGGAAUUACUGGGCGUAAAGCGCGCGUAGGCGGUCUGAUAAGCCGGUUGUGAAAGCCCCGGGCUCAACCUGGGAACGGCAUCCGGAACUGUCAGGCUAGAGUGUAGGAGAGGAAGGUAGAAUUCCCGGUGUAGCGGUGAAAUGCGUAGAGAUCGGGAGGAAUACCAGUGGCGAAGGCGGCCUUCUGGACUGACACUGACGCUGAGGUGCGAAAGCGUGGGUAGCAAACAGGAUUAGAUACCCGAGUAGUC
RNAcentral lists this ribosomal RNA (465 nucleotides) under Vreelandella stevensii. Its description in RNAcentral is "partial 16S ribosomal RNA". It matches the Rfam family "Bacterial small subunit ribosomal RNA", at positions 338 to 795 of the family's 1533-position model. The record is from RNAcentral. Lineage: Bacteria; Pseudomonadati; Pseudomonadota; Gammaproteobacteria; Oceanospirillales; Halomonadaceae.